UACGAAGGGGGCUAGCGUUGCUCGGAAUCACUGGGCGUAAAGCGCACGUAGGCGGAUUGUUAAGUCAGGGGUGAAAUCCUGGAGCUCAACUCCAGAACUGCCUUUGAUACUGGCGAUCUUGAGUCCGGGAGAGGUGAGUGGAACUGCGAGUGUAGAGGUGAAAUUCGUAGAUAUUCGGAAGAACACCAGUGGCGAAGGCGGCUCACUGGCCCGAUACUGACGCUGAGGUGCGAAAGCGUGGGGAGCAAACAGG
Molecule: ribosomal RNA, 253 nt
Filed under: uncultured bacterium
Lineage: Bacteria
Description: partial 16S ribosomal RNA
Rfam family: Bacterial small subunit ribosomal RNA
Source: RNAcentral